This 215-nucleotide ribosomal RNA is filed under the name uncultured bacterium. RNAcentral describes it as "partial 16S ribosomal RNA". It matches the Rfam family "Bacterial small subunit ribosomal RNA", at positions 28 to 240 of the family's 1533-position model. The record is from RNAcentral.
GAUAAACGCUGGCGGCGUGCCUAAUGCAUGCAAGUCGCACGGAGUGUCUUUUCGGAGGCAUUGAGUGGCGAACGGGUGAGGAACGCGUGGACAACCUACCCCGGCGUGGGGAGUACCGCCCNGAAAUGGCGGCUAAUACCGCGUACGGUCCAGGGCGGACGGGCGUACCUGGAAGGAAAAGACAGUGAUGCGCGCUGGGAGGGGGUCGUGCGGCC